UGGGGAAUCUUCCGCAAUGGACGAAAGUCUGACGGAGCAACGCCGCGUGAGUGAUGAAGGUUUUCGGACUGUAAAACUCUGUUGUCAGGGACGAAGGUGCGAUCUGCGAAUAGUUGAUCGUAUUGACGGUACCUGACGAGGAAGCCACGGCUAACUACGUGCCAGCAGCCGCGGUAAUACGUAGGUGGCAAGCGUUGUCCGGAAUUAUUGGGCGUAAAGAGCAUGUAGGUGGGCUUUUAAGUCCGAUGUGAAAAUGCGGGGCUCAACCCCGUAUGGCAUUGGAUACUGGAAGUCUUGAGUGCAGGAGAGGAAAGGGGAAUUCCCAGUGUAGCGGUGAAAUGCGUAGAUAUUGGGAGGAACACCAGUGGCGAAGGCGCCUUUCUGGACUGUGUCUGACACUGAGGCACGAAAGCGUGGGGAGCAAACA
Molecule: ribosomal RNA, 427 nt
Filed under: uncultured prokaryote
Description: bacterial SSU rRNA
Rfam family: Bacterial small subunit ribosomal RNA
Source: RNAcentral